AAAAAAGUUACCACGGGAUUUUAAUUUCUCGGUCUGCAUUAACAAAUAGAACUUUCGCCAUUCGAGUGAGAAGGAGAAAGAAGAACGCUGUAGAGAAUAGGAGCAUAUUGAAUUUUUCUCCUGGCAGAAGAAUAAUUUUCACUUCUUGAAAAAAUGAAGACUUUUCAAUUUUACAACGACUUGAAAGAAUAUCUUUUACGGGAAGAAUUUAGCAACAAUUUUACGGUCAGAGAGCGAAGUGAAAUACGACGUGUGUCCGUGAAUUUUAUGAUUAAAGUCCAUCAUCCAUGCCCUGGCUGCUCUACAGGGUGUAUCAGGACAGGAGGCAGAAGACUUAUUUCUUGGUGGCCCAGAAUACAGUAUCAGUGAAGUGGAAGAAUUUAACUGAAAGAUAGGGCAGCAAUUAAAGAAGGAAGGAAUGCUGUGAUAUCUGUUGGAAUAGAAGAUGACUAGGGGGCUCCGCCCCCUGCUCGCUUCGCUCGCCAACCCCUGGCGUUGGGACAUGACAAAGAGUGAGAUGUAUGAAUUAGAUAUAGAAUAGUGUGCAGCCUUGGAUGAUGCGCAUAGAAAUAACAAAUAGAGUGUUUGGCAUAUAUUAAUGUUUUAUUGGAAUAUUUCUUUGUAUAUAACAUUAGUAGUAAAGAAGGUGUCUUGUCCUUGAAUGAGUCUUCCUUGGCAUGGAUCAUUUAUAAUUUUAACUCUAACGUCAGAUGAACGUUGAACACGUGAGAAGGCAACAUUGCGUUGGAAUGUAGGUGUGUUGUUUUUAUCAGGACGUAAAUGUAGAACAAUAUCUCUGUGAGAUGGAGGCCCACCAUCUUUACUUUGAAAGACAAUUGCCACUUCAUUAAAAACGGGCAGAUUGUAUCGUCUUGGAUCUUGUUCUUUGUCCUUUAUCAAGACCAAAGCAAUUGUAGUUGCUGCUAUACCUUCUGCAUUUGCUUUUGUAUUUGCCUCCUUUUCAACUUCAUGUAGCAUUUUUAUAGACUUAGCCAAUGGGUGAUUGUUUAUGACAUGAGUGACGUUUCUCAUUAUAAGCUCUGUGCAUUGUUUGUUUCAGGAAGGUUCAUGCGUUGAUAGAUUGCCUCAUCUGGAUCUAGGAUGUAGAUUUGUGCAUAUUUGCGUUGUUGAUUCGUUUCAGGGUGCACUGUUCCAAUGCGAUGCAAUAUUUGUCCACAUAUGCGAAAGCAGUAUGGGCCAUUGCCUUUUGGUGGCCUGAUAUGUACUCCUGUAGAUGCAAAAGCAAAUGAACUAUUGUAGGAUCUAAUGCAGUUCAUAAAGUUUUUACUUUCAGGCACAUCGUUAGUUAGAAGCUUCUUUAGAUAUUCAGGAUAUGAAUGUAAAGGAGGCAGUCUACUCUGACCUUUUUGACAACAACGUGUAAAUUCAUUAUUUGUAUUGCCAGUUGUUUCUUCUGUGAGGUUAAGUGAAUGACAAUGAUUGCAAAUGACAUUCAUUAAUCCCAAAGAAUUUUCCUCAAUAGAGGAUUCCUUAUUGAAGGCGUUUUCAGCCAUUUGGCGUAAGCGUUUAACAGGUGUGUGGCGUUGAUGUCCGCGACGGGCAUGUUUUGCUUUUGGCGUUUGAUUGCCUUUUUGUUGCAUGUCCAUUAUUUGUGACGCGCAAUUUUUUUCUUUUUUUUUAUUCGCCUCCGCUUUGCGCAAAGUCCGUUUCAGUCUACGCCGUGCAUUGUUUGUAUCGAGCCUUGUCCGUUUUUGUAUGUCGGUCAUUUGAGCUUGGUGCUUUUCGCGUCUUGCUUUUUUUUUUUUCUGUCAGUUCAUUUGCGCGUUGUUCACGUCUCCGUUCAUUUAUUCUGUCUCUUCGCUCCCUUUUUUGUAUGUCUGAUACGCGAGCUCUUUCGGUUUGAAAUCGUGCUUCUUUCGAUGCAGCGCGCUGAAUGCGUCUACGUGCAUUGUGUCGGUCCAUUUGGGCACGUUCCCGUUAUCCUUUCCGAAUCGUUUUGUACCCGUGACCGUGUAUUCAUGACUUGUUUCUUUCUCAGCAUGCGAAAUAUGGAUAAGUAAUAAGGAGGAUCGCACUCACUGUUAAUAUGUAUCCUUUUCUGCAGUUGAACGUUUAAUAGUGCUUUAUUGAAAGGACAUCCACCUAUGCUGACACCUAUGCUGCCUAGUGUGAAGGUGUCAACGUUCACUUUAGAAUAUGUGGCUUUGGGUGUCACUUCUUAUGGAUGUGUGGGGGGGAUUGUUGUUGCGCGAGCGUCUUCUUUCUUUUUGUGUUCCUGUGACUUGUUUGAAUCCCCCUCUUUGUGUGUGUCCCGUCCCUUGCUUGUAGGGUCUGUGGGGUGGUUUUGUGUUCUUUUUUUUUUUGUCUUCCAUAGGCUUGUUGAAUCCCCCUCUUGGUGUGUGUCCCGUCC
Erpetoichthys calabaricus (reedfish) is the source of this 2371-nucleotide long non-coding RNA. RefSeq lists it as uncharacterized. The transcript is spliced from 3 exons. The record is from RefSeq and is a predicted model, not a curated record. Lineage: Eukaryota; Metazoa; Chordata; Cladistia; Polypteriformes; Polypteridae.